ACAACCACGAGUUGGUUAUGUAGAGAAGUCAGCAGAAGUCAUAUUACCUAUGGGAAAUGAGCUUUGAAAAGCAUAGAGGUCUCACGAGUAGGGAAGGAC
Molecule: non-coding RNA, 99 nt
Organism: Algibacter sp.
Lineage: Bacteria; Pseudomonadati; Bacteroidota; Flavobacteriia; Flavobacteriales; Flavobacteriaceae
Source: Rfam